GAUGAAGAACGUAGCGAAAUGCGAUAAGUAGUGUGAAUUGCAGAAUUCCGUGAAUCAUCGAAUCUUUGAACGCACAUUGCGCCUUCUGGUAUUCCGGAAGGCAUGCCUGUUCGAGAGUCAUUAACAACCGUUUCGAUCCCUUUCUUUCAGAAAUUACAAAGAGGAAAAGGGUCUGGUUAUGGUGGAGGAGGGAAAGGGAGCGUUUAGCCUGUAAAAAAAGAGGCUGUGUUCCGCCUCCCCCCCAAAAUUGUACAGGCGGUCGUGUGCGCCCACGCAUCGAGGUGUUGUAAAAGCUGCCACGGCACUUUUCACCUGUGCAGUGCGAGAUUGGCCAGCCGGUUUAAAAACCCCUCCAAACAAUCAAAGGUUGACCUCGGAUCAGGUAGGGAUACCCGCUGAACUUAAGCAUAUCAAUAAGCGGAGGA
This 425-nucleotide unclassified non-coding RNA is filed under the name soil metagenome. Its description in RNAcentral is "partial contains 5.8S ribosomal RNA, internal transcribed spacer 2, and large subunit ribosomal RNA". The stretch from base 1 to 120 matches the Rfam family "5.8S ribosomal RNA", at positions 35 to 154 of the family's 154-position model. The record is from RNAcentral.